AUGGGGGUCCCCAAGGUGGACAUGGGGGUCCCACUGGUGACUAUGGGGGUCCCAUUGGUGGUCCUGACCCCAUUGGUGGCACUGGGGGUCCCUUUGGUGGCCAUGGGGGUCCCAUUAAUGACUAUGAUGGUCCCAUUGGUGGAGAUGGGGGUCCCAUUGGUGGUCCUGGGGGUCCUAUUGGUGGCCCUGGGGGUCCCCAAGGUGGCCAUGGGGGUCCCAUUGGUGACUAUGGGGGUCCCAUUGGUGGUCCUGUCCCCAUUGGUGGCCCUGGGGGUCCCCAAGGUGGCCNUCCCCAAGGUGGCCAUGGGGGUCCCAUUGGUGACUAUGGGGGUCCCAUUGGUGGUCCUGUCCCCAUUGGUGGCCCUGGGGGUCCCCAAGGUGGCCCUGGGGGUCCCACUGGUGACUAUGGGGGUCCCAUUGGUGACUAUGGGGGUCCCUUUGGUGGUCCUGUCCCCAUUGGUGCCUAUGGGGGUCCUGGGGGUCCUAUUGGUGGCCCUGGGGGUCCCCAAGGUGGACAUGGGGGUCCCAUUGGUGACUAUGGGGGUCCCAUUGGUGGUCCCAUUCCCAAGGUGGCCAUGGGGAUCCUAUUGGUUGUCCUGGGGGUCCCCAUUUAGUGGCUCUGGGGGUCCCAUAGGUGGUCCCAUCCCAUUAGUGGCCCUGGGGGGUUUCAUUGGUGGCACAGGGGGUCCUCAAGGUGGUCCUGUCCCCAUUGGGGUCCCAUUUAGUGGCAUUGGGGACCCUUUGGCGUCCCUAUGGUGUCCCUAUAGUGGCCAUAGGGUCCCAUUAGGUGGCACUGGGGACCCUUUAUUGUUCCUAUGGUGUCCCUGUAUUGGCCAUUGGGUCCCAUUAGGUGGCAUUGGGGUCCCUAUGGUGUCCCUAUAGUGGCCAUAGGGUCCCUAUAGUGGCCUUAGGGUCCCAUUAGGUGGCAUUGGGGUCCCUAUGGUGUCCCUAUGGUGUCCCUAUAGUGGCCAUAGGGUCCCAUUAGGUGGCAUUGG
This 995-nucleotide long non-coding RNA is filed under the name Coturnix japonica (Japanese quail). RNAcentral describes it as "lncRNA (ENSCJPG00005002844.1)". Lineage: Eukaryota; Metazoa; Chordata; Aves; Galliformes; Phasianidae. The record is from RNAcentral.